GCGCGUGUAGCUCAGGGGUUAGAGCACAGGUCUUAUAAACCUGGGGUCGGUGGUUCAAAUCCACCCACGCGCA
This 73-nucleotide transfer RNA is filed under the name Candidatus Nealsoniibacteriota bacterium. RNAcentral's name for it is "Candidatus Nealsonbacteria bacterium tRNA-Ile". It matches the Rfam family "tRNA". From Rfam's summary of the family: Transfer RNA (tRNA) molecules are approximately 80 nucleotides in length. Their secondary structure includes four short double-helical elements and three loops (D, anti-codon, and T loops). Further hydrogen bonds mediate the characteristic L-shaped molecular structure. tRNAs have two regions of fundamental functional importance: the anti-codon, which is responsible for specific mRNA codon recognition, and the 3' end, to which the tRNAs corresponding amino acid is attached (by aminoacyl-tRNA synthetases). tRNAs cope with the degeneracy of the genetic code in two manners: having more than one tRNA (with a specific anti-codon) for a particular amino acid; and 'wobble' base-pairing, i.e. permitting non-standard base-pairing at the 3rd anti-codon position. The record is from RNAcentral. Lineage: Bacteria; Candidatus Nealsoniibacteriota.